Molecule: long non-coding RNA, 1575 nt
Filed under: Brachypodium distachyon (stiff brome)
Lineage: Eukaryota; Viridiplantae; Streptophyta; Magnoliopsida; Poales; Poaceae
Description: long non-coding RNA (BDIS_LNC003422)
Source: RNAcentral
UAUCUCUCCCUCCUACUUUAUAUCCCCCAUGAGCCCCCCUAAGGAGCCUUGGGUUUUGUUUAGUUAAAAGUUAGCCAUCGCUACUACUUCGUGUAAUCGCGUGUGUCGGUUAGACCACCUGUUUUACCGCUUUCGGAACCCCAACUUAUCGUCUCGUUGAGACAUUGGUUUGAUAUAGUAUAUUCACAAUUUUAGAUUGCAUCCGCUAUUUAUCUUGUUCUUGCUUGUUCUUCGAUUGCUUGCAGGAACAAAGACCUUCGUGGUCAGGUUGAUCGUGCCCCCGCGUGAUCAAUAACCCUUUGGAGUUGGUGUAUCGAUUGCUAAGGCGCUGCCUCCUAGGCCGUAGUCGGAUCGUCAACGUCACCUCCUACCCAAAUCGAGAGUUACCAAUCUCAUCGAAAGAUCGGGCCACCCGUCCCAAAUCACGUGGUAUCAGAGCUUAAGGUCGCUCGGUGAGAUUUUUCCACUUUAUCCGUAGUUUAGAUCUGUUUUUACCUAUCGUCCAGAAAAAGCCAAACAAAAAUUAGAAUUAGUUACCUUGUCCUAGAACCAAUCUGAGCCUUGCAAUUUUCACUUUAGUAUUUGCAUUGUUGAAUCUUUGUUGCAUUAAUCGUGUCGAGUUGCUGGAUUAGAUUGGAUCGUUUUUCAGAUUUUUUCUACUAGAUCGAACUUGCUUUUGGUUUUCUUGUUCUUCGUGUGACGCAGGUUUCCUUCAUCAAUCUUCCGCCGUCAAACUUCCUGCCACACCACCGCCAUAAUCUCCCGCCGCCACCAUAUCUUCCCCCGAAUCCCUCUUCGAGUCCUACACCGAGUCCCUAUUUGAGUCCUACACCGAGUCCCUCAUCGAGUCCUACACCGAGUCCCUAUUUGAGUCCUACACCGAGUCCCUCAUCGAGUCCUACACCGAGUCCCUCUUCGAGUCCUACACCGAGUACCUCGUCCAGUCCUACACCGUGUCCCUCUUCGAGUUCUACAUCGAGUCGGCAAGUAAUAGUUUUCAGCCGCGAGUUCGAGUCCGAGUCCUAUAAGGAGUGCUUUUGGAAAGUGUUUCAUCAUAGAUCGAAUUUUGUUUAGAGAUCAAGUUGUUUGGAAAGUUGAAAAAAAAAGAAAGGAAAGAAAAAAAAGGAAAGAAAUAAAGAAAAAAAAACGAAAAAAAAAGAGAAAGAGUUCGAGUCAGUUUCGGACCCGAGUCCGACUAUUUCCAGGCGCACCGCGUCACGGUUGUGUCCAGGUUUUGCCUCAAGCGAGCCCUCACCAAUCGUGAAGCCACCGGAAGGGUGGCCGAGUGGAGGAUGGAGCUGUCGGAGUUCGAUCUGCACUUUACCACCACCAAGAGCAUCAAGAGCGCGGACCUAGCGGAUUUUGUCGCGGAAUGGACUUCGACCGGCGUGGAAGAAGAGGAGCCAGAGACCAGCCUGCCCGGCAAGCUGGACGAAGACCACUGGGUUUUGUACUUCAACGGAGCGUUCAGCCUGCAAGGGGCUGGCGCCGGGAUCGUCAUCGAGUCGCCUACGGGCGAUCAGCUGAAGUUCGCCAUCCAGCUCGACUUCCCCAACUCCACAAACAACACGGCCG